GUUCCGGCCGGGCGCGGUGGCUCACGCCUGCAAUCCCAGCACUUUGGGAGGCCGAGGUGGGCGGAUCACAAGGUCAGGAGAUCGAGACCAUCCUAGCUAACACGGUGAAACCCCGUCUCUACUAAAAAUACAAAAAAUUAGCCAGGCAUGGUGGCGUGUGCCUGUAGUCCCAGCUGCUGGGGAGGCUGAGGCAGGAGAAUGGCGUGAACCCAGGAGGCGGAGCUU
This 225-nucleotide long non-coding RNA is filed under the name Homo sapiens (human). RNAcentral describes it as "HSALNT0408672". Lineage: Eukaryota; Metazoa; Chordata; Mammalia; Primates; Hominidae. The record is from RNAcentral.